GCCCUCUCUUCCUCCCCUUUUCUCUUCUUUUGGGCAUUCUACAUGCCCUUCCCUUAGAACACGCAUCUCAAGGUGUUCCAUGCCCAAAGGAGUUUGGGUGCCUCUUUCUUACUAGUUUCUAGCAUCUGAUAGCAGUACAUAGCAAGAAAAAACUCUAGAGAAGAGGAGAAGAAGAAGAUCAAGGAGAAAGAUCAAGUGUUGAUCGUGAUCC
This 211-nucleotide long non-coding RNA is filed under the name Elaeis guineensis (African oil palm). Its description in RNAcentral is "long non-coding RNA (EGUI_LNC048389)". The record is from RNAcentral. Lineage: Eukaryota; Viridiplantae; Streptophyta; Magnoliopsida; Arecales; Arecaceae.